GAAAGAUAAACUUUUUCGCAAUUACAUCUGAUGCCAUACAUAAAAAAUUUCAAAACAAAAAAGCCCUACCUAUGGGUCAGUUUGUGAAGUAACUUUUGCUACUUCAAUCUGAUGAGGUGAAUUUGAAAGUUAAGGCGGCGGUGGAGAUUCGACAGCUUACUAAGAUCUUGCAGCGCUACCGCCGUCAUUUCUCCGGUGCCAUGAAGCUGCUUGUCGACAUGCUCCUUUGCGACUCUAUUGAAGCCAAAUAGGCGACACUCGCUGCUCUUCUUAACCUCGCAGUCAAGGAUGAAACGUAAGGAAAAGUCUAUCUAUUAUAUUAUGUGCCUUCCAUGUAUAUUCGUAGGUAGAUUUCACUUGUAGACUCAAUUCACUUGUAGACUCAAAUUGAAGUGAGCAUUGGGGUUUAGAACUAGAGUUUUAAAUUUAAAUCCCUUAAAUAGUUUGGUUAUUGAUUUAACCCCCCAAAUUUAAUAAUCUGGAGAUUAAAAAAAAGAUUCUGGUUCUUGUAAUCAAUAUCCUGAAAAAUGUUUUCACUUUUAUAGAUUGGCCGUUGGUUUGUCUAAUUUAUUGUUCAAAGUUUCUAAUUUUGGAGAAUGAAAUCAUGAUUCUGGUGUCUCUUAAUCAAUACCCUAAAAAGGUUUCAUUUUUAUUGGAUUGGUUAUUGAUUUAUCUAAUUAAGCUCUUCGUUUUAGGGAUUGGUCGGAAGGGGUCAGUUUUUGAUUUGUCUAAUUAAGCUCUAAUUAAAUCGCAAAAGUUACUUUUUUAUUGUGGUUUUAUUUGUAUAAAUUUUCUAUGGGUCAGUUUGUGAAGUAUUUUCUGUCUUUCGAUCUACCUAUGCGUUGAUUGAUUUGGUUUGUGGUUGUUUGAAACUGAACACAUUUUGAAUACUGCAAUGUGACGGUUUGAUAGAUUAGGGGAAUCUGCCCCCAGGCAUAGAAAGGAAAGGAGUGAGGUUAUGUCAUGCCUUGUUAGCAGCUAUAGUGUGUGGUUCGAUUUCUGAGACAUAGAAUUGGGCUCCACAGUGUACAUGCAACUUUUGUUCUCUGACCUGUUGGGACACAUCCCGCGAUUUACCUACCACACAAAGACGGGUAAUGGGACCCUCAAGGGGUUCAACCUUUUUUUAAAUUAGGGGAAUUUGCAAAAGGACUAGUGCUUCAACUGAGGAAAAGCUUCCAUCUCGGUUAGUUCAGAGAAACAUUAAAGGAAUACAGUGUCUAUCUCAGUCCUGCAUACCUGGUUAGUCAUUUAUGCUACAAUGUCUAUUUCAGUCCUGUAUAACUGGUUAUGAUGCACUUUAUAUGAUUCAUUUGUGCAAUAUACUAGAAUUUUCCACAAUUAAUUGGUCACAGAAUUUUCGUGUAGUAUUUUUUUUUUUUAACCAUAACUUCUUAGUUUCAAUAAUUGCCUUUUUAUUUUUUAUUAUUAUUAUUAUUAUUAUUUUUUUAUAUAUGCACUGUUUCUUGGAGAAAAUGCAGAUAGUAAGCUUGUAGAGAUUAUCAAGUGUGCCAUCAUUUCUAAUUUUACGUUCCUAUGGAUCAGAUUGCCAUAACUGUAAUGAUCUCUUCAUGUAUACUAAUUAGACGACUUUCUCUAAUAGGUUCUUGGUACACUAACUUGAGAAGAAAUUCGAUUGAUGAAUCCAAGCUAUAAUGAUUUCAAAUUUCCUCAAAUUAAAGCCCAUCCAUGGCGCAAGGUAUGCGUGGACUUGCUACAUGCUAUCUUCUUAGAGGUACCAUAAAUUUUCAAUGCACAAGUGAAUGAUUGAAGAGUUUUUUUUCGUAUUGAUUUAAUGCUUCUCUUGCAGAUUCAUGGACAAUUGUGAAUUGUGUGGCGAGCGACUCAAAGAAUGCAUGAAGAAUGACAAGAUUGAGUGUGCCAUUAGUGUAUUAACCAGAAGCUUAUUGUUGCGUGUCAAUAAGCUCUUCAUGCAUGCCGAAGUAGUAUCAAAAUUUUAUUUCUGAUUUUUUUCCCAUUUUGAAACUCCUUUUUAUUUAGGAUAAAUAUAUAUGUACCGAAUUGGUUACCUACUCUCACAUGCAUGUGGGCCCCAUGUGCAUUUAAAAAUUCCGGUGUGUGGGACCCGUCCUCUUAUUGUGAGUGUAGGUAAAAAAUUCGGUAAAAAGUGUAUGUACAUCUAGCAUGGUCCAUUUAUUUAGGUGGUAUUUAUCACAUUUUAAUAUUCAAGUGUAUGGAUUCAAAAAUUUGUGAUGAAAUUAUCAAUUUUUAUGUAAUUCCAAAUUUUGUUCGCAAUGAG
RNAcentral lists this long non-coding RNA (2260 nucleotides) under Olea europaea subsp. europaea. Lineage: Eukaryota; Viridiplantae; Streptophyta; Magnoliopsida; Lamiales; Oleaceae. The record is from RNAcentral.